Cyprinus carpio (common carp) is the source of this 1449-nucleotide long non-coding RNA. Lineage: Eukaryota; Metazoa; Chordata; Actinopteri; Cypriniformes; Cyprinidae. The record is from Ensembl.
AUGUCUGAAUGUGGGCCCAGACAUGCUGUCCAGAGACAAUGUUCCCCCAGGGGAAUGGUCCCUACACUCCCAGGUAAUCCAGUUACUAUGGGACACUUUUGGCAGAAAGGAAAUCGAUCUCUUUGCGUUGCCAGAGAAUGCGCACUGCCCAGCAUUUUUCACGAAGGAGAGGGACGCGCUGGCCCAUGUAUGGCCCAGCCGCCCGCUUUAUGCAUUUCCCCCAGUCGCACUGUUACCACAGGUGAUCAAGCGAAUCAGGGAGAGCGAAUGCUCUGUACUCCUCGUGGCGCCGUUCUGGAGGAACCAGGCUUGGUUCCCAGAGCUGAUGCAGCUAGUGAGCACGACCCCAUGGCCGAUUUCGGUGAGGAGGGAUCUCCUCUCUCAGGCCAGGGGCACGAUUUGGCAUCCGUGCCCCGACUUGUGGGCCCUGCACGUCUAGGCCAUCAACAGGUACCUGCGGACCUCCCAGAGGGAGUGUUGAACACUAUUACACAGGCGAGAAUGCCUUCUACUAGAAGGCUUUACACCUCAAAGUGGUUGGUGUUUUCCGGCUGGUGCUCGGAUAAAAACAUAGACCCACAACGUUGUAGCAUUGUGGAGAUUCUCUCCUCCCUUCAGGAGCUGUUGGAGAAGGGCAGGUCCCCUUCCACUUUCAAAGUGUACGUGGCUGCCAUAGCAGCGUUUGUCAAACCUAUGCUUGACCAGCUACUGGGAAGGAACGAUCUCAUCAUUCAUUUCCUGAGAGGUGCUAGGAGAUUAAACCCUCCCCGGCCCCCUCUGGUUCCGGUCUGGGACCUCUCCACAGUCCUGGACGCUAUGAAAGGCACCCCCUUUGAACCGUUGCAGUCCGUGGGUUUGCGGUAUCUUUCAUUUAAGACUGUUUUUCUUGUGGCUCUCGCCUCAGUCAAGCGAGUGGGUGACCUGCACACACGCUCUGUGAGCGCUACGUGUAUUGAGUUUGGACCUAAUGACUCUAAAGUCAUUCUCAAACCGAGACACGGUUAUGUCCCCAAGGUUCCUUCCACGCCGUUCAGAGCACAAGUCAUUUCAUUGUCAGCUCUUCCAAGAUCUGAUAGUGAGGGCGAUGUGAACCUCCUCUGCCCGGUCAGGGCGCUGAGGGUAUAUGUCGGACGGUCUGCUGUUUUCAGACAGUCAGAGCAGCUCUUUGUUUCUUUUGGCGCCCAUACUAAGGCACUAGCCACUUCAAAACAGAGCCUUUACAGAUGGAUAGUUGAUGCUAUCGCUCUGGCUUAUGAGUCUAAGGGUCUUUGCUGCCCGUUGGGCAUCAGAGCUCAUUCCACAAGAGGCGUCGCCUCCUCUUGGGCAUGGUCUAGUGGUGUUUCACUCCAGGACAUUUGUAUGGCGGCAGGCUGGGCCUCCCCGUCUACAUUCACGAGGUUCUAUAACCUGGAAGUUCCUGCCUUGCAGGCUAAGCUGUUGUCAGUGUAG